UCCCUGGAAGUCCAGUGGCACGGCUCAGCACUUUCACUGCUGAAUCCCAGGUUCAACCCCUGGUUGGGGAA
RNAcentral lists this transfer RNA (71 nucleotides) under Ovis aries (sheep). It matches the Rfam family "tRNA". From Rfam's summary of the family: Transfer RNA (tRNA) molecules are approximately 80 nucleotides in length. Their secondary structure includes four short double-helical elements and three loops (D, anti-codon, and T loops). Lineage: Eukaryota; Metazoa; Chordata; Mammalia; Artiodactyla; Bovidae. The record is from Rfam by way of RNAcentral.